This 395-nucleotide long non-coding RNA is filed under the name Ananas comosus (pineapple). RNAcentral describes it as "long non-coding RNA (ACOM_LNC019668)". The record is from RNAcentral. Lineage: Eukaryota; Viridiplantae; Streptophyta; Magnoliopsida; Poales; Bromeliaceae.
UGUGAAUAGGAAAAGGGAGAGAAAGAGAGAGAUAAAUGCAUAUUGAAUUGGUUUGAAGGGUUUGGAGGGAUAACAUUAUAAUUUUACAUAAUAUGUAAGAUUAUUCGUCAUUAAUAAUACGAGAUAUUUCUCCACCACUCGAUAAUAUUUUUACGGUACGUUUGGUUCGUGCUAUUUUUUUAAGAUUCCUAAUAAUCCAAUAGGAAUAAAAAAAAUAUGACAGUGUUUGAUUAAACGCACUAAGUAAUCUAGUUGGUAAUACUAGAUUUACUUGGGAUGAGAUGCAUCCCAAAGUACUAAUCUCAUUCUUUUGAGAGAGUGUGGGUAUCAUUAUAUUAAUGAACGGCCCGGCCCGGCACGGCGCGUGCCUGCAGGGCCAAAGGGUCGUGCCGGGC